This is a non-coding RNA of Sorex araneus (European shrew), 354 nucleotides long. NCBI's taxonomy places the organism in Eukaryota, Metazoa, Chordata, Mammalia, Eulipotyphla, Soricidae. The record is from the annotation of a RefSeq genome assembly.
AUGAUUCUGUGGGGUCUUCUCCUCUGCCUGCUAACAGCACCGCUGAGUGUCCUGUCCCAGGUGCAGCUGCAGGAGUCGGGCCAAGGACUGGUGGCCCCCUCCCAGACCCUCUCCCUCACCUGCUCUGUCUCUGGAUUCUCCAUCACAACCAGUCCUUACUGCUGGGCAUGGAUCCACCAGCCCCCAGGGAAGGGCCUGCUCUGGUUGGGGGAAAUAUGUUAUGAUGGAAGCGCCAACUACAGCCCGGCCUUCAAGAGCCGCGUCUCCAUCACCAGAGACACGAACAAUAACCAGUUCUCCCUGCAGCUGAGCUCAGUGACCCCCGAGGACACAGCUGUGUGUUACUGUGCGUGA